Molecule: ribosomal RNA, 429 nt
Filed under: bacterium
Lineage: Bacteria
Description: partial 16S ribosomal RNA
Rfam family: Bacterial small subunit ribosomal RNA
Source: RNAcentral
UAGGGAAUCUUCCGCAAUGGACGAAAGUCUGACGGAGCAACGCCGCGUGAGUGAAGAAGGUUUUCGGAUCGUAAAACUCUGUUGCAAGGGAAGAACAAGUACGUUAGUAACUGAACGUACCUUGACGGUACCUUACCAGAAAGCCACGGCUAACUACGUGCCAGCAGCCGCGGUAAUACGUAGGUGGCAAGCGUUAUCCGGAAUUAUUGGGCGUAAAGCGCGCGUAGGCGGUCUCUUAAGUCUGAUGUGAAAGCCCCCGGCUCAACCGGGGAGGGUCAUUGGAAACUGGGAGACUUGAGUGCAGAAGAGGAGAGUGGAAUUCCAUGUGUAGCGGUGAAAUGCGCAGAGAUAUGGAGGAACACCAGUGGCGAAGGCGGCUCUCUGGUCUGUAACUGACGCUGAGGUGCGAAAGCGUGGGGAUCAAACAGG